AACAGCCGCGGUAAUUCCAGCUCCAAUAGCGUAUAUUAAAGUUGUUGCAGUUAAAAAGCUCGUAGUUGAAUUUCGGGAUCAAUUCGUCGGUCGUGCUUUUUGGUACGUACUGGCGUUAUUGGUUUCACCCUUCUGACGAGCCAUGAUGUCAUUAAUUUGGUGUUAUGGGGAGUUAGGACUGUUACUUUGAAAAAAUUAGAGUGUUUAAAGCAGGCAUUAGCUUGAAUACAUUAGCAUGGAAUAAUGAAAUAGGACGUUCGAUCCUAUUUUGUUGGUUUCUAGGAUCAACGUAAUGAUUAAUAGGGAUAGUUGGGGGCAUUAGUAUUCAAUUGUCAGAGGUGAAAUUCUUGGAUUUAUUGAAGACUAACUACUGCGAAAGCAUUUGCCAAGGAUGUUUUCAUUAAUCAAGAACGAAAGUUAGGGGAUCGAAGACGAUCAGAUACCGUCGUAGUCUUAACCAUAAGCUAUGCCGACUAGGGGUCGGAUGAUGUUAAUUUUUUAAUGACUCA
This 509-nucleotide ribosomal RNA is filed under the name uncultured Glomus. Its description in RNAcentral is "SSU rRNA". It matches the Rfam family "Eukaryotic small subunit ribosomal RNA", at positions 569 to 1078 of the family's 1831-position model. The record is from RNAcentral. Lineage: Eukaryota; Fungi; Glomeromycota; Glomeromycetes; Glomerales; Glomeraceae.